Molecule: unclassified non-coding RNA, 1048 nt
Filed under: Hevea brasiliensis (rubber tree)
Lineage: Eukaryota; Viridiplantae; Streptophyta; Magnoliopsida; Malpighiales; Euphorbiaceae
Source: RNAcentral
AUUUCCACCUCCUCAUACAUCCAGAUUUUUUAGGACAAGUUGCUGCUUCGUUCCCAGAACCAGAAAAGAUCCUUCUACGUUAACGCCGCUAAGCUUGGCAAAGAGACGCAUUGUAUCAAUGCAAGCAUUUGCGUCUUCAAUUGGGUUGGAAAAGAAGAAAAGGGUCGAUGAGAGUGACAAUUUGACCCUUGAAAAUAUUAGACGUUCAUUGAUUCGACAAGAGGAUAGCAUAAUAUAUAGCCUUUUGGAGAGAUCCCAAUACUGUUAUAAUGCAGAUACCUAUGACCCAAAUGCUUUUGCCAUGGAUGGCUUCCAUGGCUCUUUAAUAGAGUUCAUACUCAAAGAGACUGAAAAACUUCACGCGCAGGUUGGCAGAUACAAGAGCCCUGAUGAGCACCCUUUCUUCCCUGACUUGCCAGAGCCAUUGUUGCCACCUCUGCAGUACCCACAGGUGUUACAUCCCAUUGCUGAUUCAAUUAAUGUAAAUAAGAAAGUAUGGGACAUGUAUUUCAGAGAUCUUCUCCCACGAUUGGUCAAGGAUGGAAAUGAUGGCAAUACUGGUGGAUCGGCUGCUGUUUGUGACACAAUCUGCCUGCAGGCUCUCUCAAAAAGAAUUCAUUAUGGAAAAUUUGUAGCCGAAGCCAAAUUUCAGGCCUCACCAGAUGCAUAUGAAGCUGCCAUUAAAGCACAGGACAGAGAUAGAUUGAUGGAUUUGCUAACUUACAAGAAAGUUGAAGAUUCAAUCAAAAAGAGAGUGGUGAUGAAAGCGUUAACUUUCGGGCAAGAGGUGACAAUAUAUUGUGAGGAAGAUGGAAGUGACCCGGUAUACAAAAUAGAACCAAGCUUGGUUGCCGAUUUAUAUGGGGACUGGAUCAUGCCAUUGACAAAGGAAGUUCAAGUUAUGUAUUUGUUGAGAAGGUUGGCUUUGCAACGGCUGUUUAUGAUUAUACAGAGAAUGUUUUUAGAAUACCAGCUGGAUGAUGCUAUGCUUGUAACUAGACAUGCAAAAGAUGACAGAGAUGCGAGAUUGCUCUGUAAAAAUUAUCAG